UACGGGGGGGGGCAAGCGUUGUUCGGAAUUACUGGGCGUAAAGGGUUCGUAGGUGGCCAACUAAGUCAGACGUGAAAUCCCUCAGCUUAACUGGGGAACUGCGUCUGAGACUGGAUGGCUUGAGUGCAGGAGAGGAACGCGGAAUUCCAGGUGUAGCGGUGAAAUGCGUAGAUAUCUGGAGGAACACCGGUGGCGAAGGCGGCGUUCUGGACUGCAACUGACACUGAUGAACGAAAGCCAGGGGAGCAAACGGG
This 254-nucleotide ribosomal RNA is filed under the name uncultured bacterium. Its description in RNAcentral is "partial 16S ribosomal RNA". It matches the Rfam family "Bacterial small subunit ribosomal RNA", at positions 524 to 776 of the family's 1533-position model. The record is from RNAcentral.